ACAGACAGCAUCAAGCGUCCAUGGUUCCAAUGAGAACAUAACAUAAGAACAGCCCUGCACAAGGCCCAUCUAGUCCAGCAUCCUGUUUCAUUUGUGGCCCACCAGAUGCCUCUGCGGAGCCCACAGGCAAGAGACUCCUCUGCAAAUAGAACAGAAGAGCAUGUCGUACAUCUAGGCUAUGCACUGCUCUUUCCAGUGGCAAGCCAGGACCAUGAAAAAAGAAACCCAGAACCCAACCAUUUUUACGGUCCAGCCCUUGAUUCUCUUGGUGUCUCAAGUCGGUGACCGAGGCUGGUAGGAAUGCCAUGCAGGCUGGAACCCACGGGCUUUGAAGAUUCAGGCACAGUGGAUGGAUGCAGCUCAUCUCUGAAGACCUCAUCCUCACCCCAUGCUGAUGUAUCUUAAUUUCAUUUUCACACAUGAAGUUUAAAUGGUUGUUUUUCUUUUUGCAUUUCUGGCAUAUCUUAUUUUCAAUGUUAAAUCCAACACUGGCAAGAAUCUACAUUCAUUAAAAAAUACCUCUUUUCA
Molecule: long non-coding RNA, 528 nt
Organism: Hemicordylus capensis (graceful crag lizard)
Lineage: Eukaryota; Metazoa; Chordata; Lepidosauria; Squamata; Cordylidae
Exons: 3
Source: RefSeq, a predicted model, not a curated record